GAUGAACGCUGACGGCGUGCCUAAUACAUGCAAGUCGAGCGAACGGACGAGAAGCUUGCUUCUCUGAUGUUAGCGGCGGACGGGUGAGUAACACGUGGAUAACCUACCUAUAAGACUGGGAUAACUUCGGGAAACCGGAGCUAAUACCGGAUAAUAUUUUGAACCGCAUGGUUCAAAAGUGAAAGACGGUCUUGCUGUCACUUAUAGAUGGAUCCGCGCUGCAUUAGCUAGUUGGUAAGGUAACGGCCUACCAAGGCAACGAUGCAUAGCCGACCUGAGAGGGUGAUCGGCCACACUGGAACUGAGACACGGUCCAGACUCCUACGGGAGGCAGCAGUAGGGAAUCUUCCGCAAUGGGCGAAAGCCUGACGGAGCAACGCCGCGUGAGUGAUGAAGGUCUUCGGAUCGUAAAACUCUGUUAUUAGGGAAGAACAUAUGUGUAAGUAACUGUGCACAUCUUGACGGUACCUAAUCAGAAAGCCACGGCUAACUACGUG
Molecule: ribosomal RNA, 497 nt
Filed under: uncultured bacterium
Lineage: Bacteria
Description: partial 16S ribosomal RNA
Rfam family: Bacterial small subunit ribosomal RNA
Source: RNAcentral